Long non-coding RNA from Homarus americanus (American lobster), 614 nucleotides. RefSeq lists it as uncharacterized. The record is from RefSeq and is a predicted model, not a curated record. Lineage: Eukaryota; Metazoa; Arthropoda; Malacostraca; Decapoda; Nephropidae. The transcript is spliced from 4 exons.
ACCCCAGCCGACCACUACCAAGAUCUGGUCGCCGUCCGUCUCACCUCCAUCAACCAGAUCGUCGACCCGUGGGUGUACAUCAUCUGUAGGAAGGUAUUCAUGAUGAGGGCGUGGCGGUGGGUGCGUCUGUCGCUGCUGGGAACGCGUCUCAUUGGUCGAGAGUCGUCCACAAACCAGACUACCUCCCACAAGAAGCUGACCAAUCAUGUACUCCACAGGGACCCCUUCAGGAAGCUACAGUACAGGACGUCUUUCAUAGGAGACGCAGAAGGUGUAGAAGACGAGGUAGUUGUGGUGACGAGAGAAGGCAUAGCGGUGGCAAUGGAGACAGGAGAGGAGAAAGAAGACCGCCUCACAGCACCACCACAACACCACCUCCCCACUACCCAAGGACACCACCACCACGCUGACGAAGGAGAUGAUGGAGGGGAAGGAACUGGUGGAGAUCUUCAAGGAUUCCGGCACGGGCUCCAAUAACAACACCCCGUCCACACACUGUAGUGAUUCAGGAACAGCGGCGGCGGCGACCCCUUACUCACACAACUGCGACCCGGCUUGUCAUGCAGUGUGUCCUCCCUCCACCACACUGAAGGCGUAUACUAGUUAGCGAGAAG